This 70-nucleotide transfer RNA is filed under the name Bacteroides caecigallinarum. RNAcentral's name for it is "tRNA-OTHER". It matches the Rfam family "tRNA". Rfam says of the family: Transfer RNA (tRNA) molecules are approximately 80 nucleotides in length. Their secondary structure includes four short double-helical elements and three loops (D, anti-codon, and T loops). The record is from RNAcentral. Lineage: Bacteria; Pseudomonadati; Bacteroidota; Bacteroidia; Bacteroidales; Bacteroidaceae.
GGAGCAAGGAAACAUGGAGGGCGUGCCUUAUAACAAUAAGGAUGUAUCGGUUCGAAUCCGAUUUGCUCCA